RNAcentral lists this ribosomal RNA (393 nucleotides) under uncultured bacterium. Its description in RNAcentral is "bacterial SSU rRNA". It matches the Rfam family "Bacterial small subunit ribosomal RNA", at positions 29 to 451 of the family's 1533-position model. The record is from RNAcentral.
AACGAACGCUGGCGGCACGCCUAACACAUGCAAGUCGAACGAGACCUUCGGGUCUAGUGGCGCACGGGUGCGUAACGCGUGGGAAUCUGCCCUCUGGUACGGAAUAACUCAGGGAAACUUGAGCUAAUACCGUAUAAUGACUUCGGUCCAAAGAUUUAUCGCCUGAGGAUGAGCCCGCGUAGGAUUAGCUAGUUGGUGAGGUAAAAGCUCACCAAGGCGACGAUCCUUAGCUGGCUGAGAGGAUGAUCAGCCACACUGGGACUGAGACACGGCCCAGACUCCUACGGGAGGCAGCAGUGGGGAAUAUUGGACAAUGGGCGAAGCCUGAUCCAGCAAUGCCGCGUGAGUGAUGAAGGCCUUAGGGUUGUAAAGCUCUUUUACCCGGGAUGAUAA